AGUCUAGCAUGUGCGCGAGUCAUUGGGACUCAAUAAACCUAAAGGCGCAAUGAAAGUGAAAGUCUGUUUACGCGGACUUAGGGAGGAUAGGUGCGUACACUUGUGUACAACCUCGCACUCCCGGGGCGUCUCGCACUCAUUGCGAGGUGGGGCGCACCAAGAGCGUACACGCUGGGACCCGAAAGAUGGUGAACUAUGCCUGGUCAGGACGAAGUCAGGGGAAACCCUGAUGGAGGUCCGUAGCGAUUCUGACGUGCAAAUCGAUCGUCGGAACUGGGCUUAGGGGCGAAAGACUAAUCGAACCAUCUAGUAGCUGGUUCCCACCGAAGUUUCCCUCAGGAUAGCUGGCACUAGAUUAUGGAUGAGUCUCAUCCGGUAAAGCGAAUGAUUAGAGGCAUUGGGGUCGAAACGGCCUCAACCUAUUCUCAAACUUUAAAUGGGUGAGAUCUCCGGCUUGCUCGAUUUGUGAAGCCGGAGAUCGGAUCAAUUAGUGCCAAGUGGGCCACUUUUGGUAAGCAGAACUGGCGCUGUGGGAUGAACCAAACGCAGAGUUAAAGCGCCAAAAUCGACGCUUAUGGGAUACCAUGAAAGGCGUUGGUAACUUAAGACAGCA
Molecule: ribosomal RNA, 613 nt
Filed under: Carabus nemoralis nemoralis
Lineage: Eukaryota; Metazoa; Arthropoda; Insecta; Coleoptera; Carabidae
Description: eukaryotic LSU rRNA
Rfam family: Eukaryotic large subunit ribosomal RNA
Source: RNAcentral